CUCAUCUUAGCUCAGAUGGAAGAGCGAGGGACUGUAAUUGGUUCCGUUAGGUGUCUACCUUCAUCCCUAGGUCGUGUGUUCGAUUCACACAGAUGAGA
Molecule: non-coding RNA, 98 nt
Organism: Saitozyma podzolica
Lineage: Eukaryota; Fungi; Basidiomycota; Tremellomycetes; Tremellales; Trimorphomycetaceae
Source: the annotation of a GenBank genome assembly